Molecule: ribosomal RNA, 387 nt
Filed under: uncultured myxomycete
Lineage: Eukaryota; Evosea; Eumycetozoa
Description: bacterial SSU rRNA
Rfam family: Eukaryotic small subunit ribosomal RNA
Source: RNAcentral
UCUCUCUGAAUCUGCGUACGGCUCCGCAAACCAGUUGUAAACUAUAGCAAGUCCGCCUUGAUGCCGGCCGUAAGGUUGGUGCUGGGGCUACAUGGAUACCCGUGGUAAUUCUGUGGCUAAUACAUGAACGUACCCCCUGAUCAACUGGGUAACCGGGAGGUUGGGGACAGUGCGGUCAGUCGCAGAUUUUGCUGGGAAUAGACGCACUUUCAAACCACCAUACAAGCAGUUGGGGUACCGGCCUUCGGGAAGGUGCCCUUUCUGGGUGGGCCUUGCUUUGUGCUUCUGACCUAUCAACUAGAUGGCAGCGUAACGGACAUGCUAUGGUGACAACGGGUACAGAGGAUUAGGGUUCGAUCCUGGAGAGUGGGCCUGAGAGAUUGUUAG